GCAGAUAUAGCUCAAGUGGUAGAGCACAUGCUUAGCAUACACAGUCCUGGGUUCAAUCCCCAGUACCUCCU
This 71-nucleotide transfer RNA is filed under the name Camelus bactrianus (Bactrian camel). It matches the Rfam family "tRNA". Rfam says of the family: Transfer RNA (tRNA) molecules are approximately 80 nucleotides in length. Their secondary structure includes four short double-helical elements and three loops (D, anti-codon, and T loops). RNAcentral also lists the same sequence under 1 other name. The record is from Rfam by way of RNAcentral. Lineage: Eukaryota; Metazoa; Chordata; Mammalia; Artiodactyla; Camelidae.